GGAUCAAGGAAUCGGUCAUGCCUUGGUAUGUACUGGUUUUAUUGGUUCUCACCUUCCUGAUGAACCUUAAUGUCAUUUAUUUGAUGUUAUGGGGAAUUAGGACUGUUACCUUGAAAAAAUUAGAGUGUUUAAAGCAAGCUUACGCUUGAAUACAUUAGCAUGGAAUAAUGAAAUAGGACAUCAUAUUCUAUUUUGUUGGUUUCUAGGAUUGACGUA
This 216-nucleotide ribosomal RNA is filed under the name Campeiostachys nutans. RNAcentral describes it as "Elymus nutans partial small subunit ribosomal RNA". It matches the Rfam family "Eukaryotic small subunit ribosomal RNA", at positions 651 to 864 of the family's 1831-position model. The record is from RNAcentral. Lineage: Eukaryota; Viridiplantae; Streptophyta; Magnoliopsida; Poales; Poaceae.